RNAcentral lists this ribosomal RNA (263 nucleotides) under uncultured prokaryote. Its description in RNAcentral is "partial 16S ribosomal RNA". It matches the Rfam family "Bacterial small subunit ribosomal RNA", at positions 524 to 786 of the family's 1533-position model. The record is from RNAcentral.
UACGUAGGUGGCGAGCGUUGUCCGGAUUUACUGGGCGUAAAGGGAGCGUAGGCGGACUUUUAAGUGAGAUGUGAAAUACCCGGGCUCAACUUGGGUGCUGCAUUUCAAACUGGAAGUCUAGAGUGCAGGAGAGGAGAAUGGAAUUCCUAGUGUAGCGGUGAAAUGCGUAGAGAUUAGGAAGAACACCAGUGGCGAAGGCGAUUCUCUGGACUGUAACUGACGCUGAGGCUCGAAAGCGUGGGGAGCAAACAGGAUUAGAUACU